This 214-nucleotide ribosomal RNA is filed under the name Vibrio sp. Vb2424. RNAcentral's name for it is "partial 23S ribosomal RNA". It matches the Rfam family "Bacterial large subunit ribosomal RNA", at positions 1443 to 1659 of the family's 2925-position model. Lineage: Bacteria; Pseudomonadati; Pseudomonadota; Gammaproteobacteria; Vibrionales; Vibrionaceae. The record is from RNAcentral.
UUCUUACAAUUGCGAUGGGGGGACGGAGAAGGCUAGGUGGGCCUGGCGACGGUUGUCCAGGUUCAAGUGCGUAGGCUGAAGAGUUAGGUAAAUCCGGCUCUUUCUAAGGCUGAGACACGACGUCGAGCACCUACGGGUGUGAAGUCAUUGAUGCCAUGCUUCCAGGAAAAGCCUCUAAGCUUCAGAUUGUAAGGAAUCGUACCCCAAACCGACA